AGUGAGACAAAGAGUAACUUUAAAAAAAAAAUACCAGCGUUAACUGGAUUUGUCAAAAAGGAUUCGGCAAAGUGGAAGGUAGUCCUGUGGCUCCGGUAUGGGGACUCCACAACCCUGCCAUGAGCUAAGAAGACUUAAAGCAGCUUUAAAUAAGACAAAUCCUGGCGCAACCUGGGCCGGACACUGACUGAAACAACUGAAACAAGCGUCAGCAAAGACAACACUGAGGAUGCCUCAGCGGUUGUCAGCACAGGACCAUAGAUCCAUUCAAUAAACGGGAGAUUUCAUUUCUGACACUGUCCGUGCCUGCUGGGUAAAAGUGGAUCUGGAAAUUUGUCAAAACAGAGAUGCUGACCAGUCCGCCUCAGUGGUGUCUGCAGGACCCCAAACACAACAUAAAGUUAUUUGGAAAGAAAUCUUACAUCACAACAAGUUGGUUUCAUAAUAUCCAGUUCGCCCAUAUUUAAAAUUGCCCUGGGGGGUGGCAGGAUUGGUUGGUGCCCUUACUAAUGUUGAAAACAAACCUACACCAGGGUCAAAGGUCAAGGACACAAUGACCUCACAGCUGUUCAACUCUUGUGAAUGCAGUAUCUCAGGAAGACCUUGAGGGAAUUUCUUCAAAUUUGCCACAAACAUCCA
Monopterus albus (swamp eel) is the source of this 639-nucleotide long non-coding RNA. RefSeq lists it as uncharacterized. The record is from RefSeq and is a predicted model, not a curated record. NCBI's taxonomy places the organism in Eukaryota, Metazoa, Chordata, Actinopteri, Synbranchiformes, Synbranchidae. The transcript has 3 exons.